AAACUGCGAAUGGCUCAUUAAAUCAGUUAUCGUUUAUUUGAUAGUACCUUACUACUUGGAUAACCGUGGUAAUUCUAGAGCUAAUACAUGCUAAAAACCUCGACUUCGGGAGGGGUGUAUUUAUUAGAUAAAAAACCAAUGCCCUUCGGGGCUCCUUGGUGAUUCAUGAUAACUUAACGGAUCGCAUGGCCUUGCGCCGGCGACGGUUCAUUCAAAUUUCUGCCCUAUCAACUUUCGAUUGUAGGGUAUUGGCCUACAAUGGUUUCAACGGGUAACGGGGAGUUAGGGCUCGACUCCGGAGAGGGAGCCUGAGAAACGGCUACCACAUCCAAGGAAGGCAGCAGGCGCGCAAAUUACCCAAUCCCGACACGGGGAGGUAGUGACAAUAAAUACUGAUACAGGGCUCUUUUGGGUCUUGUAAUUGGAAUGAGUACAAUUUAAAUACCUUAACGAGGAACAAUUGGAGGGCAAGUCUGGUGCCAGCAGCCGCGGUAAUUCCAGCUCCAAUAGCGUAUAUUAAAGUUGUUGCAGUUAAAAAGCUCGUAGUUGAACCUUGGGCCUGGCUGGCCGGUCCGCCUCACCGCGUGCACUGGUCCGGCCGGGCCUUUCCUUCUGGAGAGCCGCAUGCCCUUCACUGGGUGUGUCGGGGAACCAGGACUUUUACUUUGAGAAAAUUAGAGUGUUCAAAGCAGGCCUUUGCUCGAAUACGUUAGCAUGGAAUAAUAGAAUAGGACGUGCGGUCCUAUUUUGUUGGUUUCUAGGACCGCCGUAAUGAUUAAUAGGGAUAGUCGGGGGCAUCAGUAUUCAAUUGUCAGAGGUGAAAUUCUUGGAUUUAUUGAAGACUAACUACUGCGAAAGCAUUUGCCAAGGAUGUUUUCAUUAAUCAGUGAACGAAAGUUAGGGGAUCGAAGACGAUCAGAUACCGUCGUAGUCUUAACCGUAAACUAUGCCGACUAGGGAUCGGGCGAUGUUAUUAUUUUGACUCGCUCGGCACCUUACGAGAAAUCAAAGUUUUUGG
RNAcentral lists this ribosomal RNA (1018 nucleotides) under Hysteriales sp. CBS 243.34. Its description in RNAcentral is "SSU rRNA". It matches the Rfam family "Eukaryotic small subunit ribosomal RNA", at positions 84 to 1110 of the family's 1831-position model. Lineage: Eukaryota; Fungi; Ascomycota; Dothideomycetes; Hysteriales. The record is from RNAcentral.